UCUCUCAGGACACACCACGUUGUGCACUGCAAACGUGGUUCCAAUUUUAUCAUGCUGCCUAAUGAGGACGUUGCCAUUCCGGCAACCAAGGAUGUAGGUUGGUACCGACGGUACUCUCUGAUAGGUGCCCAAGCUAGAGGUUGCGCGACGGAUGACAGCAGUGAGUUCACGGGGCUGAGGCAAUAUCGGGAUGAAGUGCGGGGUGUUCUGACCUUUGUUGAUGUAGAAGCCAAGAAGGCGGGGCGGGUGGAUCUCACGAAAUCGAUGGAGGAAGGCGCGGUCGGAGGCAUGGGCGAGCCAACGUGUGCAUACGAGGGCGGAGUUGAGAAGGGUGGUGGUGAAGACGGUGCGGAGGAGGAUCUCACUGAGGAGGUCGUCGUCCUCGAGCACCUUGGAUAUCGCCGCCAUUGAUGUUGGGGAACGCUGGUCAAACUGGGGUUAGGGGAGAAGAAUUGUAGGUCGAUGCCGGGGACGGGUGGGGUGAAGUCGCCGACGAAAUUGCGACACUCAUCCUUUAAUUGCUUACGUUUCAGGCAAGUGAAGAAAUGGCUUUUGGCACCUACCCCAAAAAUAAAUGACCACCCAGCCUGGCCAAUUAAGCCAAAAAUGGUAACUGUCGCAAUGUACAGCAAUUGUGGUCCACCUGCUUUUAUCUUCCGUUUUAUUGUGGUGGCGUGUGUUGCUUGCCUUUGUGAUCCCCACACCGGUCCACUACGGAUAGGGAGGGGCAUGGCCGUCGCUUCGCACAAAGCAGCUACUGAGCGAACCUACCGAAAGGUUUUGUACGAGUUUUACUGAUUUUAUGUAUAAACAUUUUAGAAGGUUCUGGUAUGUUUUCGCUAUUUUUAAUGGUUUUUUGUUGUCUAAAAAAUGUCCAUAAACAUUCAGAAUCUCAAAAUUUUACUCUGAAUUUUUAAAAGUUCAUACUUACAAAAAAAUAUACUCUCUGCGUCUCAAAAUAAGUGACUCAACUUUGCACUAAAGUUAGUACAAAAUUUAGUCACUUAUAUUGGGACAGAGGGAACAUUUUUUGAUUUGUUUGCAAGAAAUAUUUGGAAUUUCAAAAUAUGUUCAUGUUUUAAAAACAAAAAAAUCUCAAAAAAUGUUCACCUUUCAAAAAAUGCUUGCGUCUUCCAAAAAAGAUCAUAAACAUUUUGAAAAGGUUCAAAAUUUUCAAAUAAAAAUAAAAAUCUAAAAAUAUGUUCACACUUUUGUAUUUUUUUGUGAUUUUUUAGUAGGCUGAAUGAAAAGAAAAUAAGCACUCCUGCCGAUCGAUAUUAAUUGUCGCCGACUUAGUAAAUCCACAGCAAUUAACAUGGAUUAGAGGGAGUUCUAAAAAAGUGUGUUGCUAUAGUGCCCACUCCUUCACUUUUUUACUUGUCUCUCUCCUACACUUAGACAAAAGUGCCAUGCAAGCGGGCUUAUAGCCCACUAUUAUACUUACUCUUAUAUUGUUAACUGCUAAUCUAAGACCGGUUUAAAGCGUGUUCUAGUCUAUCUGGAUUGAGCGAGGGUGGUGACGUGUCAUGCACUCAUAUCAUCAUCCUUCACUCAUAACUGGAUAGCUUCUUCUACUUGUUUUGGCUUUGCACUUAUCUUGACAUGAAUAAUCUACAUAGUACUGUCAACUCUGACUAUUCGAAAGACGCCAAUUAGAAAAAGUAUAUACAGCAAAAUUACACCGUAAAAUAAUGGUUAAUUCGAUAUACAAGCCACGUCCGCAAUGGCAUUUAGCAAAGUAUCAGAAUGCUGGCAAUGCAAUGGUUAAAAGUUUCUUUCCAAGUGAAUUUUUUGUGUCGUCUGAUCAAAAUUUCAAUCAACGGGGUCGAUCUUGUAUGGUUUGUGUGGUAGGGUCAAUUUUCUCAAGGAAAAUGGAUAAGGUUGAACAGUGGUAAAUCCACAUUUGUUUUCUCACCAAUAAUUCGACCGAUCAGAUCAUGGGCACCACCAUCAGUUGCAAGAAAAAUUGAUGCAAAAUCGGAAACACAAUUUCUUGUGUCACAACGAACAGCUGAGUUAAUUGUAAGAAACCACCACACCACAUUGAAGGCUAGAUUAGCAGAAAACACGAGUUUACAUUUUUUUUGGACAAACAACACCAUGUCUAGUGUAAUCGUUUGGCAAAUAACAUUGAUUGGCGCAUUAGGCUUAUUUAAGCGUGUUUAUGGCAGGUGGGUCCCGCAUUUCGCUCACAUGGCAUAACAGUUCACGGAGACAGGGUUGGUUGAAAUGUACCAACAAUAGUCCCUGGAAUUUUACAUAGACACCCUUUAAUAAAAAACAAAAGCGAUCAGCCCCCGUGCACUGUGCCCAUGUGCUGCCGGAAUCCCGCCCGUCGCCGCUAGGUGGUCGCAGCCGCUCCGCGUGCCAGUCGUUGCACUCCGCCGCGCCUGAAGGCAUGGAGACAAUGGCGACGAACCGCACGCCGCCGGGAGCAGCCGCCCUGCAGGACACCCUCCGCCACCACCGAGGCGGUCAACGCCGACAGUCGGGGCCCUCCCUCAGCUUCAAGUAGGCGACCGCCGUAUAUGGUAUGUCUAGCCGGUGGCUAGAAUCGAUUCAACAACUAGCUCCUGUGCUUGUACGUCCGCAUCCAACCGGGAAGAAUCAAUCAACGCACGCCUAGAUCCGCAGUAGACAAAGUACUUCUUGCAACACCGAGCACUGUGCAUGCGUGCUAGUUGUUGCUGCUGCUUGCGGGAGAUGCGGCGGCCACCUUGUUCGCGAGGCAGAGUAGGCGCCAUUGGGUUCUUGGUGGGCAGUGGCGGCGCUAGGAAAUGAAGGCUGGGUAUUCAUUUAAAUAUAUUUUUUGCUCUAAAUAUAGUAUAUGAACCAAACAACAUACCACUAGCAAUAUAGAUGAACAAAACAACACUAGCAUACUAGAUGGAUGCAGAAUGUCCAGGGCGGAGUUGUGGAGGUGAGCCGGGAGGGGCUGGGCGCCUACUUGGGCCGGGGAGCCGCCAACCGGGAGGUCGGAGGCGGACCGGCGCCUGGCGAAGCCGCACCGCCGCAGAGGUCGGCGCAGAGCGGCAGAGGGUCGGAGGGCGUCUGGGCAAGGGCGGGCCAGCAAGGGAGGGAGAGGGAGAGGGUGGCCGGAGGGGAGGGGACCGAGGGGUGAGGCGAGGGAGGAAGGAGAGAGCCGACCUGGCCGCCGGAGCCGGACCUGAUUCCAGGGUAGGCUGAAUCGGGGGAGCUAGCUAGGUUUGGCAAAAGAGGGUCGAUUGAAAUUGGGGCUUGGCCGCUCGAGGCAGUACGUAAUCGAGGGAGGGAGACGAGCCACUCGUGCGCCUAGCCACUUAGCCAGACGCUGACUCGGUCGUGUCUGCUCCCCUGCGUAGCUUUUUUGCCGUGGCCCUAUUCCUUCUAUCGUAUAUGUACUAAUUUUUUUACGCGAAAUACUUGGGUAUUCCAGGGAAGUCCCAGGAAGACCCCUAGCACCGCCACUUUUGGUGGGGAGACCGGGUUGAGAGCGGCAUGGCGGCGGAGACCACCAUGCACUGCACUGCGAGCAUGCUAGGAGGUUUUGAGGCGCCGGCCGCGGAUCCGGCAUGGGGCAUGGCGUUAGAAGGGCGGGGGCUAUCUGGUCUGCGGUGGGGGAAGGUUUGGGGACGGCUGGUGGCCCGGGGAGAAAGUUUGGCACAUUUUUGCAAAAGACCCGCCGUCUCUUGCGAACUGUUACGCCACCUAUGCAAAAAAUGGGGCCCACCUGUCAUAAACGCGCUCAAAUGAGACUAAUCCACCUGUCAUAUUGGUUCCUACAUAUUCCACGAAGGUCAUUUAUCGUUUGAACCACGUUGUCAAGGAUUCGUUUAAUCCCGUAUGCAAUUCCCUUUGUCUGGGAAUAUGUUACUUGCCUGAGAUUGGAUCGUCAGUAUCUCCAUAUAUACCUAGUUCUAUCUCGUUAUCGACAAGUCUCUUUACUUGUUCCGUAAUACAAGAUCUCGUGACUAACUCAUUAGCCACAUUGCUUGCAAGCUCUUUACGAUGUUGUAUUACCGAGAGGGCCCAAAGAUACCUCUCCUCACACGAAGUGACAAAUCCCAGUCUCGAUCCAUGCCAACCCAACAGACACCUUCGGAGAUACCUGUAGAGCAACUUUAUAAUCACCCAGUUAUGAAGUGACGUUUGAUAGCACACAAGGUAUUCCUCCGGUAUCCGGGAGUUGCAUGAUCUCAUGGUCUUAGGAAUAGAUAGAUGACAUGAAGAAAACUAUAGCAAUAAACUCAAGUGAUAUGAUCAAAUGUUAAGCUUACGGUUGGGUCUUGUCCAUCACAUCAUUCUCCUAAUAAUGUGAUCCCGUUAUCAAAUGACAACUCAUGUCUAUGGUUAGAAAACCUUAACCAUCUUUGAUCAACGAGCUAGUCUACUAGAGGCUCACUAGGGACAUAGUAUUUGUGUAUGUAUUCACACUUGUAUUUAAGUUUCCGGUCAAUACAAUUCUAACACGAAUAAUAACCUUUAUCAUUAAUAAGGAAAUAUGAUAAUAACCAAUUUAUUAUUGCCUCUAGGGCAUAUUUCCAACAGGUAUCUUCCCGGGACCGACCCUGGAGAAUCGGCCAGACAAAUGCGCAAGCGGGCAUCAAUGCACUGGACUAAUUUCCGCGGCCAAUUGCACUGCAAAACCACCAACAAACAACAAUCCAUGCAUCAGCUCGCUAGAGGACAUGUAAAAUCAGUGUGCAGGAAAUGAAACACAGGGAGAACGGAAAUUAUAUUGCCGUUUGGGAAGAGAAGAGCUCACAUCGCCGUUUGGGAAGAGAAGAGCUCACAUCAACCAAUUGACGUGAGGCUGGAAGAGGAAGCGUCUUUCGCCGUCGGGGACGGGCGAGGUCAGGCCGCCGCCGCCCCCUCCUUAAUUUCUUUCGGCGGGGCUGAACUGCGUUUUUUUGAGAAAGCUGAAGUAUUCGAGUGGAAGUCGGUGGCUGGUUUUGGGAAGCUUCUUGAAGCUUCCAGUCCUUUUUUCCUUGGCCUUUUUUGUUUGGUUUGUCUUAUUUUCCCCUUUUAUGUUUUUCAUAUUUCCAUUUUUUUUCUCAAAAUGCAUGAACUCCUUUCAAACUCAAGAACUUUUUUCAAAUUCGUGAGUGUUUUCCAAAUUUGUUUUUUUAAAUCGUGGACGUUUUCCAAAUCUGUGAUUUUUUUCACAUUUGUGAAGUUUUCGCCUAAAAUUCCUGAACAUUUUUUAAUUUUAUUUUUCCUUAAAUCAUGGACCUUUUCCAAAUUCAUGAAUUUUUUUGUCCGUGACCUUUUUCAAACUCGUGAACUUUUAAAAAUCCACAAACUUAAAAAAAAAUCAGUGAUUCUUUUCCCAAAUUCGUGAAUUUUUCUCAAAUCUAUAAACCUUUUAUUAAACUAUUUUUUAUGAAACCUUGUCAGAGGGCGGGGAGCUCCCACGUUGCAUACUGAAGAAGAGAGUUGGUCCAAUUAAUUAAGGUACCCGACCCAAAAAUCAUAAAAAACUAACAAAAACCACGCACGCAACUGUUGAUUCAGCAUCAUCUACAGACUUCGUAUGGAAUGCCAUGUUUCAUGGGAGAAGCAGAUAUUGAGAAAUUUGCAGGUGCUUCACAAUGUAUAUUGCCAGAAGAAAGCUAUGAGCUUCAGAUUAGGCACCGAGAGUAUAUAGCAGUUGCGGCUUGGAUCCUGAGUAGAGAUGUGAAGGAUAGGGAGCAGGUCCCGAUGAAGGUUGAGAGUGAUGUACAACAAAUUGCAGCAGAUUCAUGGGCUCCAUUAUUGAGCAGGUUAACUCAAUCAGGUUUGCAGACAUCUGCAUAGCACCUACCUAAAGUGGCAGCAUGCAUAUGAUUUGGGGAAACAACAAUUUGGGGCAAACAACAGAGUUGAUGUUGUCAUCUUCUCUCUCUUUCUCUCUCUCUCCAGUCUUCCCCCAUUUCUUCUUUCCAGAUACAACAGAGUAGAUAGCAAGCAUAAAUCAUGAUACAAGACUAGGGCUAUCAAAGGUAAUAACAAGGUGAAGAAAAUCAUGCAAAAGAUAUAUCAUGAUAAUCAAGCAUAAUAAUAGGUAUUAAACUCCAGAAAGGAUCGAAACCAGGUAGGUAGCUCUAGAUAUUAAAAACAGGUGCUCAUAACUUUUCAGGUUGCACAUGUCACCCAUCACAACUAAGGAGAAACUUUGGGGUGCAUUUAUUCUCAACUCAUCUACGAUGGAGCUCCAGUUUAUUGGUAGUAGAGAUAGCUAGUGUCCAUCUAUAUCCUUGAUCUUUAGCCUGAGCAUGGCAUUUCUGUUCCAAACAAAAUAGGAAAACACAAAGGAUCAGGGAUGAAGAUGAUUAAGCACAAGUGGAACAAGACAAAUUGGCAAGUAAUUUUGCAACAACAUUCAAAUGUUAUGUGUCACUCAAAAUGCAUAAUGAUAUAAUUGACCAAGCAAUGAUGACUAGAUGCUUCCAUACCCCAAACAUGUUGUAUUUUUCCUUCUACAGCGUGAAAAGUAAAGAAAACAAUAGUCAAUGAGGGUAUAAGUCACCAAGGGGGAGUUUUUAGACUGGAUUAUACACUUGACAUGUAGGGCGAAAAUAUCAUGGUGGUAUAUCUAAAUUGAAAAACAUUCAAUAACACAAGUGUGCCGAUGUAAAUUAUGCUAUCCAGAACUGAUAGGUGUGGGAAUAAUGGCAUGCUUAAAUAGACAUACAUGGAAAUUUUAUUCCAUGACACUACCGUAUCCUUUCUCGCAAAAAGAAUAACGACAUUAUUCUAAAAAAACUGCAAGUAUGUACAUCCAAAGUAACAUGACUGAGGUUCACCAUUCAAGGUCAGCUUACUGGUGAUAAGAAUUCAUAUAAUGUGAUAUCAAUAUAUGAGAAAUGAAGAAGAUGCAAUACAUGAACUUCCAUUCUUCAACUGCUAAUCCCUCUCUCUAAUUUCCCGGAUAUAUAACCCAAGACAACAACAACAGUCAUGACCACAUAGAAAAAAAACAACUGUAGCGAAAUCAUGCUACAGGUACAUAAAACAUCUCAAUUGUUGCUUACUAGUCUUCCUAAAAUGGCCCGAGGAAUCAAUUAUGUACCUACCACCAUUCCAUGAAUGUACUACACCAUGACUGUUGAUGAACCAUUAAUUAAAAUAAUAGAGGACUAAUAGUUUGGCAAUGCCAUUCAUCCUUAACUACACUGGAUAUGUUGGUGUAUUGAUCUAAGCUACAGAUUUUAGCUUUAAAGCACACAACAAGACAAAGCAACUGAAUAGAAAAUAGAUUGAUAGAGUGAACAAUUCAAAAACAUUAUAACCUCAACAAGACAAUAGAUUAUAUGAAGGCCAAAAAACAAACCUUGUAGGAUCAUCCUUGAGUGCAGGAAAUACGGGAGGCCAAAUCAUCAUAAGAGGAUGGAUUUCACAGAAAAAUUUAUCACCGUCUUCCUUCUCAUACACCUUAUGCAUUGUUCUGCGCUUGAUGUCCAAGAGGAAUGUGCAUUGACCCCUGUCCAAGAACACAAACUCGGCAUUGUCUCCUGCCUGGUUUAUCAGGAGAGAAGCAUUGUCAUCUGCCAUACUCAAAUCAGCACACAUCUCACGCAAAUAAAUGGUGUCCAUCAGCAACCAUGUGUACCCAUUGUGGAGCCAGAUGCGAAGUUGAAACUUCUUGACAUGGAUAAGAUAUACACCAGCAACAUCAUCAGCCUGUGACAAUAUGGUGUUUCUCUCACCAUACUCCAUCCCUUCUGGGAGCUCAAUUAUGGAGAAACUCGAGGCCGCCAAAUCCAAGACAAUAAUGUUGCUCCAGCCAGCUGGCACGUAGAUUUUAUUGUUGGACAACACAGAUUUAAGUACUGACCAUGGACGAGGGGGCUGCUGUAUGAUCAAGCUAUGAUUCAUGCGCCAUAUGCCAUGUUUCAAGAUAUAUAUGUAUACCCUAUGUUUUCCAUCCGUUGUUUGGUGCAUCAACACAUACAAGUAAGACAAGGCAUUGCCCUCUUCUUUGGACAUGAUUCUAGAGUAAGCAGUACCGUCAAAUAAGUACGGAGAUUGGGGGCGUGGAAAUGGUGGGAGGAUGUCCAUGCCUCUCUCAGGACACACCACGUUUUGCACUGCAAACGUGGUUCCAAUUUUAUCAUGCUGCCUAAUGAGGACGUUGCUAUUCCGGCAACCAAGGAUGUAGGUUGGUACCGACGGUACUCUCUGAUAGGAGCCCAAGCUAGAGGUUGAGCGACGGAUGACAGCAGUGAGUUCACGGGGCUGAGGCAAUAUUGGGAUGAAGUGCGGGGUGUUCUGACCUUUGUUGAUGUAGAAGCCAAGAAGGCGGGGCGGG
This 8269-nucleotide long non-coding RNA is filed under the name Triticum aestivum (bread wheat). RNAcentral describes it as "long non-coding RNA (TAES_LNC012843)". The record is from RNAcentral. Lineage: Eukaryota; Viridiplantae; Streptophyta; Magnoliopsida; Poales; Poaceae.